Hevea brasiliensis (rubber tree) is the source of this 84-nucleotide small nucleolar RNA. RefSeq annotates it as small nucleolar RNA SNORD25. NCBI's taxonomy places the organism in Eukaryota, Viridiplantae, Streptophyta, Magnoliopsida, Malpighiales, Euphorbiaceae. The transcript has a single exon. The record is from RefSeq and is a predicted model, not a curated record.
CAUAGCAGUGAUGAGUCGCACAGAUCUGUAAUGAUUUGUGGUUAUGGUUGCAAUUUUUAAGAGCAUCUUAGGGACUGAGUUUUC